RNAcentral lists this ribosomal RNA (301 nucleotides) under uncultured bacterium. RNAcentral describes it as "partial 16S ribosomal RNA". It matches the Rfam family "Bacterial small subunit ribosomal RNA", at positions 509 to 807 of the family's 1533-position model. The record is from RNAcentral.
CAGUCGCCGCGGUAAUACGAAGGGGGCUAGCGUUGUUCGGAUUUACUGGGCGUAAAGGGUGCGUAGGCGGAUUGUUAAGUCAGGGGUGAAAUCCCGAGGCUCAACCUCGGAACUGCCUUUGAUACUGGCGAUCUUGAGUCCGGGAGAGGUGAGUGGAACUGCGAGUGUAGAGGUGAAAUUCGUAGAUAUUCGCAAGAACACCGGUGGCGAAGGCGGCUCACUGGCCCGGAACUGACGCUGAGGCACGAAAGCGUGGGGAGCAAACAGGAUUAGAUACCCCUGUAGUCCCUGUCUCUUAUAC